UGACAGCAUCAUUGUUUUAUGGUAUUGGGUAUUGUUUUCGUCAGUUUUACAGUAUUUUGCAGUCAAAUAUAUUACAAAAAUAGUUUUUUUCAAAGCUAAACGUCUCUUGGCAUUAUUACUUUCAAAAUUAUGCCUGGAAGUAUUCUUAAUUCACAAACACAACAAUUUGUGUUGAACUUGUGCGAAUAUUUUGAAAGGGAGAGAGCGCAUGGAGGACCAUUGUUACCAUUUUCAUCUGUUCAAGAGAGAGUUGCAGAUGCUCUUGAAAUAUCUCAAAA
Leptinotarsa decemlineata (Colorado potato beetle) is the source of this 278-nucleotide long non-coding RNA. Lineage: Eukaryota; Metazoa; Arthropoda; Insecta; Coleoptera; Chrysomelidae. The record is from RefSeq and is a predicted model, not a curated record.